UAGGGAAUCUUCUACAAUGGACGCAAGUCUGAUGGAGCAACGCCGCGUGAGUGAAGAAGGGUUUCGGCUCGUAAAGCUCUGUUGUUAAAGAAGAACGUGGGUAAGAGUAACUGUUUACCCAGUGACGGUAUUUAACCAGAAAGCCACGGCUAACUACGUGCCAA
This 164-nucleotide ribosomal RNA is filed under the name uncultured bacterium. Its description in RNAcentral is "partial 16S rRNA". It matches the Rfam family "Bacterial small subunit ribosomal RNA", at positions 355 to 511 of the family's 1533-position model. The record is from RNAcentral.